GAAUGACAUCCUUACACCAAAUGAUUUCCUUGCUUGGCAUUGAGCUUGGAAGAAGCCUCACUUGUGUUUAAUGAUUGUCUUUCUUGACAUGGUGAAGUGAUUUGAGUGUCCUGAUAUGGGACCUUGUGCAGUAGCUCUUCCAGGGAGGGUAGACUAGAAAGAGCUAACUGAAGGUGGCACAAUUUACUUCAGUCUUCAUAGGAAUGAAGAGAGCUCACUGAUUAGGGGAAAACAUCAUUUAAUAUGCGGUUGCUUGUAUAGAUAUACUGGCUUACUGACUCUGCGCAUGCAGGGUUUUUACAGCUAGAAUUGGUCAAAAUUUAUUAGGUUCUCAAACUUGCUAAUUGGCAUUCUCAAACUUGCUAAAUUGGCUAUCUAUCAUCAUUGAAGCAUAUUGUUAGGAGCCAGCUUUUCUUCUCCAUAGUCCAGAAACUUUUAGCUCCAAUAAAUGUCUGUGCUUCUGAGAAACAAGAUUCUGAUUGUUUUGUUUUCCCCUUAAGCCUUCUAUCUGUCUUGUCAAGGGGACUUUCUUUGCCUAUUCAUCAGUGUAUUUUUGGCAUUCCUCCAACUAAAUUGCCAAACUUCUCCCCACACAAAAUUUCUAACAAUAAUUUGCUCUUUAGUUCCUGAUUUGUUUUCGUAGCGAAUUGUUUGAGCAGCAGGCAAGCAUUAGCUGUAUCAAGGUCCACACAUUCUUAAUGGUCCAAGGCUAAUUUAUCCGUCCGAUGUUCAGCAUUUUCAUGUCUAUGUAUAAAAAUAAUUCCUAUUUGAUUAGGGCUUCAUAGUUCAUACAAUGAAGUCUUUUAGAUAAACUUUUUGCUCUCAUCAUCUUGAUAUGAAAAAGCAAUGUGAAAUCUUAUUAAUAUUAAUCAGGAAUAAAAGUCCCCUAGAACCACAAAACCUGCUAUUGUUGUUGUGAAAUAUUGUCUUUGAUCAGGAGGGUUUUGCAAUUGAAAAUUGUUUAAUCCAAUAUAUUCAAAGCAUAAUUGUGUGUUAUAAGUUUUUUUUUUUGUUUCUGUGUUAAACAGUUCUAAUGGACAGAUCGCUUGUAAGAUGUCUUAUCAACAGUAUUUCUCGAUUCAUUCUUCUAGUUUCAUGCCAGACCAGGGCACAUAUGCCUAUUCAAAAGGAUUAUAGGAGCAUGGCUAUGGUUUUAAAGCGUUUGAAACCAGUGCUUGAUGAAAUUGUUGAUUUCAAAAUAUCUUCUGAUGAAAUCCUAUAUAAAGAGUGUGAAGAACUUGAUUUGGCUGUUAAUGAGGCUCGGGAAUUUAUGGAGAACUGGUAUCCAAAGAUGAGCAAGAUUUGCUGUGUUCAAAAGAGUGAAGCCUUGUUUGUGAAAAUCAGAGCCUCUUCACUAGAGAUUUGUCAAGUACUAUCUAGAUUGUUGCAAUCUUCUUCGUCCACUUCAAGUAUAACUAGCAUUCAGCACUGCAUGCAGGAGCUUCAAUGUUUGAAACAGGAAAUGAUAACAGAACAUAUGGAGGAGGCUUUGAGAAGUAAAAGAGAUGAUGUUGUUCCUUGCACUGAUCACCUAACGAAAAUUAUUGAAGCACUAAAUUUAACAUCGGAUGGGGAACUCUUAAAAGAAAGUGUGGCUGUGGAAAAGGAAAGAAUGAAUAUUCAAGUCAAUAAUGCUAAAGGGUACUUUGAUCAAAUCAACCAAAGUGUGGCUCUUAUCUCUGUAAUACGUAAUUGCUUGCUUAAAGUUGAGUGCUUGGAACCAGAAAGCGGGGUCCCAAUCCCUCCAUACUUCCGCUGCCCUUUAUCACUGGAACUCAUGUUGGAUCCUGUGAUUGUGGCUUCAGGGCAAACUUAUGAGAGGACUUCCAUUCAGAAAUGGCUUGAUCAUGGGUUGAAUAUUUGCCCGAAGACCCGCCAAACACUUGCUCAUACAAAUCUCAUUCCCAAUUACACUGUAAAAGCUAUGAUAGCAAAUUGGUGUGAGGAGAAUCAUAUAAGAGUUUCUAGUAACUCUAAGCAAACCGAUUGUACCUCAGCUCCAGUCCCAUCAGAUCAUUCUUUACUGUGCUCAGAUAGUUUCUGUUGCUCUCUGCAAAGUAGCAAUUCUACAUCAAAAUCAUCUCUUGAAGUCGGAAAUGGAUUUGAGAAGCACAGGGUUGAUUUCUCAUCUAAAUUAAGCGGAGAAACAGCUAAUGGAUUUCAAAUUGGGCAAACUGAAAGCUUUGAGCGCCCAUCCCAUGAACUAUCACAUAUUCACAGCAGGAGUGAAUCAGCCUCAAGUGCCAUAUCCAGUAUUGAGUAUGUGUCUCCAGUAUCAAACGACAUAUCAACAAUGUCCACCAAGCAUGAAAAAGCUCCUGGUUUGUCACAAGAGAUCACAUCCAAAUGCCCAAAUAAAGAAUCAGGAUUUUCUCCUUGGUUGUCUGGAAAUCAAUUCCCCAUUCCUAAAGCAAAAGCUGACCGGGAAAGCAAUGCAAACCAUAACCACAGAACACACUCUGUUUCCUUUUUGGACUUUGGUUCUGAUUAUGUAGAUACAACUUCUCAUGUUAAUAAUUUGAUUGAAGAUCUUAAAAGCCAAUCAAAUGAAUUGCAGACAGCUGCUGCAGCAGAGCUACGGCUUCUUGCUAAGAACAAAAUGGAGAAUCGCAUCAUUAUAGGCCACUGUGGUGCUAUUGCUCCAUUGCUUUCACUACUAUACUCAGAAGUGAAGCUAACUCAGGAGCACGCUGUUACAGCCCUGUUGAACCUAUCAAUCAAUGAAGAAAUUAAAGUUAUGAUUGCAGAAGCGGGAGCACUAGAACCGCUUAUUCAUGUCCUAAAAUCAGGAAAUCAUGGAGCCAAAGAGAAUUCUGCAGCAGCGCUAUUCAGCCUCUCUGUUUUGGAAGAGUACAAGGCUAAAAUUGGCCGUUCCGGUGCUGUCAAAGCCUUGGUGAAUCUUCUAGCCUCUGGGACUCUAAGAGGGAAAAAAGAUGCUGCUACUGCUUUGUUUAACCUUUCAAUCCUUCACGAAAACAAGGCUCGAAUGAUUCAAGCUGGAGCAGUAAAGUAUCUUGUUGAGUUGAUGGAUCCUGCCAAUGGGAUGGUUGACAAGGCUGUUGCUCUUCUUGCAAAUUUGUCAACAGUCGGGGAAGGGCGCAUGGCUAUUGUGCGUGCUGGGGGCAUUCCUUCACUGGUUGAGAUUAUUGAAACAGGAUCUCAUAGGGGAAAGGAAAAUGGUGCUUCUGUAUUGCUGCAAUUGUGCCUUAAUAGUCCCAAGUUCUGUCACCUUGUUUUGCAAGAAGGAGCAGUUCCUCCCCUUGUUGCCUUGUCCCAAUCUGGCACACCAAGAGCAAAGGAAAAGGUAUGCUUUUAACUGUUGUCUGCCCUCUGAACAAAAUGCCCCAAGUUAUGGUAAAGAUUGUUGGUGCCUCCCUCUAGGAAUGAGAGGAAGUAUGAUGGUUAAAUUCCAUGAUACGUCUUCUUUUUUUGCAAAACCACAGUAGUUUUUCCCUUCAGCAUGUUGCAAUAUGCUGUUAUUUUAAUCUAGGAAAGAGCUCCAUCCUUAAUCUUUUGGUGUAUGGUAUAAGCUUCAUAGGUCGUAACACAUAUUAGAUAUUUUGGUAGAAAGCAUGGGAGAAGGUACUUUACAUGGGAUGAGAAUGUAAUUCCAUAUUUGCACUGGUUCAGAAAAUGGGCCAUGGCUAUCAUUUUUCCCCUCCUAGAAGGUAUCAAACCAAGUUGGUUUUAGAUGCAUUGUAAAUUGCAAUGUGUCAGAUCAUGUAUAAUUGAUUUUGCACAUGUUAUGCAUUGCAGGCACAGCAGCUUCUGAGUCAUUUCCGUAAUCAGAGAGAAGUGUCCAUGGGAAAGGGUAAAUCAUGAGAAGAGACAAUUUUUGUUUGAUUAUCUGAUUUUUUAAGAAUCUGUUUGCUCUCCAUCUAGAUGCAUGGGGGCUUUUUUUCCAUAUAUUUUUGGGUUUUAGCUAUAUUCGUUUAUGUUGUAGUCUUUAUUUAUUUCUCAAGUAGGAAAUAGUGUGCUCAUUAGAUUUUAGUUAUUCCCAAAUAUUUGAGUGCGGUCACUGGGGAUUUGUGCUUUAUUUUCUUUUGGUGUCUUAGAAUAGAAGAAUAUGGAUAACCUCGUGUCCUAAGUAAUGUAUAUAUUAUGUAUAUAUAUCUUGUUAACUUUUGCAGUCUGCUAUACAAAAGAAGUACAAAACAAUGAAUAUUGAUGGUAUUUCAUGCAUAAAUGUUCCGAGUUUCUGAAUGUUCGUUUUUGUCAAUGUAUUGAUGUGAACACUUCUUUUGUAACUGGACCUGGAUCAUGUAUUUCCAUGGUGUAUUCAUCAUCUUUGAUGUUCAGUAAAUAGUAUAAUCCUGGAAAAUGUUCCAGGCAUUACAUGAAUGCAUGAAAGGUUAUGGAUAUUCUGCGUAUCAGAAAGGCAUGAUGGAAUUAUCAUCUUGGUUUUUCUGGUAUUUUUUCUUUACUGUUUAGGAAUUUUAUUAUUUUUACUCCAACUUGUGGAGAUCGUUCAUCCCUUUUCAGGGACUUUCUUGAAACUGUAUUUUCUGUUGCAGUUGUAUUUGCUUUGCAAUUUGAAUCAGAAAUUUUGUCAAUUCAGGCCAACUCAAUUAAUCAAUUGAAUCAUAUACAGAACAAGAGAUAUGUUUAUCUCGUAGUGCAGAUCCUAUGUGGUUAAAUUUGGCAGGGAAAAGGUAGUUAUGUAAGCAUAGAUGUGGAAGCCACUUGGGACCCACGAUGGAUCCACUGAGACAUACUUCUUGUUAUGUGCAAAAAUGUAGAGUUCCCUCCUCGUGUGAUGAAGUCUGUUACUCCAGUUACAUCUCAAUCAGACCAAAACAGACUAGGAUUUCCAUGAUCUUUUGACUCUGCAGAGGUGUUCCUGUUCCUACAAUCAUUAUUUUUCAGGCUUUUAGCAUAUUGAUUAAAGUGGCAGCUCACUGCAAGCGCCUGCAAGGGAGGAGGCACCAUUUCAGCUGGGAUGGUACAAAA
This 4950-nucleotide unclassified non-coding RNA is filed under the name Hevea brasiliensis (rubber tree). The record is from RNAcentral. Lineage: Eukaryota; Viridiplantae; Streptophyta; Magnoliopsida; Malpighiales; Euphorbiaceae.